This is a non-coding RNA of Caenorhabditis elegans, 342 nucleotides long. NCBI's taxonomy places the organism in Eukaryota, Metazoa, Nematoda, Chromadorea, Rhabditida, Rhabditidae. The record is from Ensembl.
AAUGAGCCGACCGAGUGAGCCAGAGAGCCAGGCGACCCUCUAGUUUUUUCUCUAUCUUUUCGUCAUCAGUGUUUUUCGUUUUUCAUCGUCAUGUCGUCUGCGCCCGCGCGUUGUUUUCGGUAGGAUAUUCUUUCUCUCCACUACUCCAUCCUCCGGUUUUUCUCCGGUUGUUUUUGUUGCUAUUUCUGUGCCUAUAUGUGUGUAUGUGUUUUUUCAGCCCCAGAGAGCCACGCAGUUCCCGUGAUCUCUCGCGCCGAGCGCGCACCUAGCCCAGCUCUCCCCGCCCCAUGGUCCCUCCCCUUUUCUCUAUUUUCUAGAAGAAGUGAGCUCCUUGCCAGGCAU